RNAcentral lists this ribosomal RNA (450 nucleotides) under uncultured bacterium. RNAcentral's name for it is "partial 16S ribosomal RNA". It matches the Rfam family "Bacterial small subunit ribosomal RNA", at positions 354 to 796 of the family's 1533-position model. The record is from RNAcentral.
GUGGGGAAUAUUGGACAAUGGGCGAAAGCCUGAUCCAGCCAUGCCGCGUGUGUGAAGAAGGUCUUCGGAUUGUAAAGCACUUUAAGUUGGGAGGAAGGGCAGUAAGUUAAUACCUUGCUGUUUUGACGUUACCAACAGAAUAAGCACCGGCUAACUUCGUGCCAGCAGCCGCGGUAAUACGAAGGGUGCAAGCGUUAAUCGGAAUUACUGGGCGUAAAGCGCGCGUAGGUGGUGCAGCAAGUUGGAGGUGAAAUCCCCGGGCUCAACCUGGGAACUGCCUCCAAAACUGCAUGACUAGAGUACGGUAGAGGGUAGUGGAAUUUCCUGUGUAGCGGUGAAAUGCGUAGAUAUAGGAAGGAACACCAGUGGCGAAGGCGACUACCUGGACUGAUACUGACACUGAGGUGCGAAAGCGUGGGGAGCAAACAGGAUUAGAUACCCCAGUAGUCC